Molecule: ribosomal RNA, 447 nt
Filed under: uncultured bacterium
Lineage: Bacteria
Description: SSU rRNA
Rfam family: Bacterial small subunit ribosomal RNA
Source: RNAcentral
AGAGCGAACGCUGGCGGCAGGCUUAACACAUGCAAGUCGAGCGGGCGUAGCAAUACGUCAGCGGCAGACGGGUGAGUAACGCGUGGGAACGUACCUUUUGGUUCGGAACAACACAGGGAAACUUGUGCUAAUACCGGAUAAGCCCUUACGGGGAAAGAUUUAUCGCCGAAAGAUCGGCCCGCGUCUGAUUAGCUAGUUGGUGAGGUAACGGCUCACCAAGGCGACGAUCAGUAGCUGGUCUGAGAGGAUGAUCAGCCACAUUGGGACUGAGACACGGCCCAAACUCCUACGGGAGGCAGCAGUGGGGAAUAUUGGACAAUGGGCGCAAGCCUGAUCCAGCCAUGCCGCGUGAGUGAUGAAGGCCCUAGGGUUGUAAAGCUCUUUUGUGCGGAAGAUAAUGACGGUACCGCAAGAAUAAGCCCCGGCUAACUUCGCGCCAGCAGCCGC